RNAcentral lists this ribosomal RNA (467 nucleotides) under uncultured bacterium. RNAcentral's name for it is "partial 16S ribosomal RNA". It matches the Rfam family "Bacterial small subunit ribosomal RNA", at positions 28 to 507 of the family's 1533-position model. The record is from RNAcentral.
GACGAACGCUGGCGGCGUGCUUAACACAUGCAAGUCGAACGGAAAGGCCUCUUUCGGGGGGUACUCGAGUGGCGAACGGGUGAGUAACACGUGAGUAACCUGCCCUUGACUUUGAGAUAACUUCAGGAAACUGGGGCUAAUACCGGAUAGGAGCUCCUGCUGCAUGGUGGGGGUUGGAAAGUUUCGGCGGUUGGGGAUGGACUCGCGGCUUAUCAGCUUGUUGGUGGGGUAGUGGCUUACCAAGGCUUUGACGGGUAGCCGGCCUGAGAGGGUGACCGGCCACAUUGGGACUGAGAUACUGCCCAGACUCCUACGGGAGGCAGCAGUGGGGAAUAUUGCACAAUGGGUGGAAGCCUGAUGCAGCAACGCCGUGUGCGGGAUGACGGCCUUCGGGUUGUAAACCGCUUUCGCUCAUGACGAAGCUUUGUGUGACGGUAGUGGGUAAAGAAGCACCGGCUAACUACGUG